This 125-nucleotide small nucleolar RNA is filed under the name Neotoma lepida (desert woodrat). RNAcentral's name for it is "Small nucleolar RNA SNORA70". It matches the Rfam family "Small nucleolar RNA SNORA70". From Rfam's summary of the family: snoRNA U70 seems to be exclusive to mammals and is a member of the H/ACA class of snoRNA which contain H (ANANNA) and ACA box motifs. H/ACA box snoRNAs are involved in the conversion of uridines to pseudouridines (5-ribosyluracil) a constituent of structural RNAs (transfer, ribosomal, small nuclear, and small nucleolar). The record is from Rfam by way of RNAcentral. Lineage: Eukaryota; Metazoa; Chordata; Mammalia; Rodentia; Cricetidae.
CACACACACAAGCUGACCAGAUCCCUUUCCCCCAUGGGGAUCUGGUUUAAAAACAGCACACUCUUUUGGAGUGAAUUUACCCUUGUUGCCUAUAUAGGUUGCCCUAAAGGACCUUGGAGACAAUU